RNAcentral lists this long non-coding RNA (253 nucleotides) under Elaeis guineensis (African oil palm). RNAcentral describes it as "long non-coding RNA (EGUI_LNC012416)". Lineage: Eukaryota; Viridiplantae; Streptophyta; Magnoliopsida; Arecales; Arecaceae. The record is from RNAcentral.
AGAAGAAUUUAAGAAAUUGAUGAAUUUAAGAAGAAAAACAUAAUUAGAAAUUAUGAUGAUUUGACUUUUAUAAAUGAUUGACAGUAUGAAUAUGAUUUCAUGAAAUUAUAUAUUGAUUUGUUAUGCAUAGUAUUAUUUGCCUGAUUUAUUCAGUUAAAGGUAUACACUGCUUACUGGGCUGUUUAGCUCAUGAUGAGUUUUAUGUUUUUCUUACAGAUCCAGAAAAUUAACAUGAUGCGGAAUUUCGGUUGGG